AUUUAACAAAGGUAACAAAUUUAAUAUAUCGUAUUUUAUAAGGCACACUUAAAUUCUUUUAAUUUUCAUAAAAAUCAUCAGUGUGCCUUAUAAUGCAGUGCUCCUUAUGUAUGAAUUUUAUCAGUCAGGUUAUAAGGAGCAGUUAUGGGCCUGUAGCCUGUUGCUAAGCCCGGCUAGCACUGAUGAAGCAGUAUUAGCAUUAGCUGCUAACCGCACUAAGUGCUAACUCUUUCACUAUUCAGAGUGGGUGGUCCCUGGAUAAACAUGCACAUGAGAAUACACUGAAGACCUGAAGACCCCGCCCCCCGGAAGACAUUCAUUCAUUGUGGUACAUUUUCGCUUCUGAAGCACGUCAACUAAUGAGAUACAAAUAAAGGGACUAACUUUGGUUAAAACAUGCAAUUCUGCUGUACUUAUCAGUGUUAUAUAAUUAGUAAUGAAUCAGGAGGUGUGCUGAGCCGUUACAGUGGAUAUACUCUGUAGAUGCAUAAACACAGGCUAAUGAGGAGACGGGCCAUUAUAUUGAGGGCGGCAGUGUUGAUAAAGACAUCCAAGGCAAUCAAUUCUCCUCAACAGAAACUAAUAGGGGUGAAUCUGGUUCCAGCCAGUGCCUAACCAAAUAAUCCCAGGUUGGUCAUUACACAGGUCCAGGGGAAACACCCACCUGGAAAGCAGAGUUACUCUACAUAACUCUACAUAAGAAUAAUCCCAUUCUUCCUCGUCCCACUGAACCCAAAUACUUGUUUCUGUACCUUUAAAUAAAUAUACAUAUAAUAAUACA
RNAcentral lists this long non-coding RNA (781 nucleotides) under Astyanax mexicanus (Mexican tetra). RNAcentral describes it as "lncRNA (ENSAMXG00005024167.1)". Lineage: Eukaryota; Metazoa; Chordata; Actinopteri; Characiformes; Acestrorhamphidae. The record is from RNAcentral.